RNAcentral lists this signal recognition particle RNA (84 nucleotides) under marine sediment metagenome. RNAcentral describes it as "Bacterial small signal recognition particle RNA". The stretch from base 1 to 75 matches the Rfam family "Bacterial small signal recognition particle RNA", at positions 9 to 84 of the family's 97-position model. From Rfam's summary of the family: The signal recognition particle (SRP) is a universally conserved ribonucleoprotein involved in the co-translational targeting of proteins to membranes. The record is from RNAcentral. RNAcentral also lists the same sequence under 1 other name.
CCUUAACGACGAUAUGCUGUGAACCCGGUCAGAUCUGGAAGGAAGCAGCCGCAGCAGCAGAUUCGGGUGUUAGGGCAAGGCUGU